This 405-nucleotide long non-coding RNA is filed under the name Panax ginseng (ginseng). Its description in RNAcentral is "long non-coding RNA (PGIN_LNC000940)". The record is from RNAcentral. Lineage: Eukaryota; Viridiplantae; Streptophyta; Magnoliopsida; Apiales; Araliaceae.
AGUUGCUAGUUCGUAUAUACCUCCGCUCUAUGAAGGAAUCGUUUAGCCCAUAUACCAUACAUCAACUAGUUUCGAGUACAAUGGUACCAUACUUAAACCUAACUUUUUGACCCUGCGAGAUUCUUCAACUAACUCUAUAUGAGUUAGUACUUAUCUUAAUCACUGCGGUUAUUGGUCUCAGGUAUUGCUACCUAAGCUUCAUAACCAACAGCUUUGAUACCAACUGUAGCGCCCCCGAAUCCGGGUCCCAAAUCGCCGCGGAUUCGGUACAAUCAUUCUACAACUGUUUGCGGAAGAUAUAAACAUAGAUUGUUUAUACAUUAAACUUUACACACAUUUCCCCAUAAUCGAGUAACCUUCACUUAUACACAAUCAUGAACUAUCUAGCACAUGACAAUACUAUUU